This 23-nucleotide transfer RNA is filed under the name Barbosella miersii. RNAcentral describes it as "partial tRNA-Gly". RNAcentral also lists the same sequence under 51 other names. The record is from RNAcentral. Lineage: Eukaryota; Viridiplantae; Streptophyta; Magnoliopsida; Asparagales; Orchidaceae.
GCGGAUAUGGUCAAAUGGUAAAA